Molecule: non-coding RNA, 218 nt
Filed under: Hyphomicrobium sulfonivorans
Lineage: Bacteria; Pseudomonadati; Pseudomonadota; Alphaproteobacteria; Hyphomicrobiales; Hyphomicrobiaceae
Source: RNAcentral
GCGCUCUAAAGGGGUGACGGUUUCGCUGUUCACGGUAAGUGUGCAGCGAUGAAAAGGGAACACGGUGAGGCUCUGUCCGAUGCCGUGGCUGCUCCCGCAACUGUAAGCGGUUAGUUCUUUUCGCAAAUGCCACUGCCGGCUCGCGUUGAGCCAGUGGGAAGGCCGGAGAGAAUGUCUGAGCCGUGAGCCAGGAGACCUGCCGCCGCAAGUCGCCCAUC